CGAAGCGUGCGAUUGGAUUGCACGUCUAAGCAGUAAGGCUGAGUAUUAGGCAAAUCCGGUACUCGUUAAGGCUGAGCUGUGAUGGGGAGAAGACAUUGUGUCUUCGAGUCGUUGAUUUCACACUGCCGAGAAAAGCCUCUAGAUAGAAAAUAGGUGCCCGUACCGCAAACCGACACAGGUAGUCAAGAUGAGAAUUCUAAGGUGAGCGAGCGAACUCUCGUUAAGGAACUCGGCAAAAUGACCCCGUAACUUCGGGAGAAGGGGUGCUCUUUAGGGUUAACGCCCAGAAGAGCCGCAGUGAAUAGGCCCAAGCGACUGUUUAUCAAAAACACAGGUCUCUGCUAAACCGU
RNAcentral lists this ribosomal RNA (350 nucleotides) under Staphylococcus aureus. RNAcentral's name for it is "partial 23S ribosomal RNA". It matches the Rfam family "Bacterial large subunit ribosomal RNA", at positions 1487 to 1834 of the family's 2925-position model. Lineage: Bacteria; Bacillati; Bacillota; Bacilli; Caryophanales; Staphylococcaceae. The record is from RNAcentral.